Molecule: long non-coding RNA, 1627 nt
Filed under: Physcomitrium patens
Lineage: Eukaryota; Viridiplantae; Streptophyta; Bryopsida; Funariales; Funariaceae
Description: long non-coding RNA (PPAT_LNC003569)
Source: RNAcentral
CUGCCGGAGUAUGCUUCAAGAGAUCCGUGUACUUCAAGUGACGUGCGAACCCACCUUAUUGAUGGGUCACCGACACAGGACCCUCCAAUCCUCUAAUCUCCGCCGGGGUUAACUGUGUGUGAAGGUAACACGCACUGAUGCAUAUAUCUCCUAAGACUACAUUACCCAGCACAGACGUAGUCGUUCUCCAGCAAUAUUAGACAUCAAUAAUGUUUCUGGGUCGAAUCUGACACUGACACCAUGAUCACAUGCUGUUCGGAUUUUCUCAGUGCCAUUCGAAUUACCGAAUCAAUGUAAAAAUCCGAUUCGCAGUAACGAAAUCACUUGUGAUUAUAAAAUAAUCCAGAGAUCAUCUUUUGAGGUCAUUGUGUCAAUCGUUGACUGAGUCGUUCCGUGCCAGACAGACCUUGAUGCACACAGUAAAAGCCUCCGCGUAAUUUUUGCGGAUAACAGUUGUACGUUGUGGGUAUGAGCGGAAAACAGAUUUGAAUGGAAGACCGUUCCAACUGGUUUGAACUGGGAGAAUAAAACCUGAAACGAAGGAAGCCAUGUACAUGUGAGUUGGGAAUGCUGGGUUUUUAGUUUCAAGAUGAACAGAUAACAGCAAAACAAGAGGAGAAAAUUUCCAUCAAGGCUCAAAAGUGCUGUUGCAUCAAAACUUUGGAAAUGUAAGAGUACACUAUUAGGAAUUCAUGGAGGGCGAAAAAGUGGGGUAUUGAUUGGGUGCAUUGAAUCGAUUACCUGCUCUCCUGAAUUGCAUCAGUAAUCAACUUCCAGAUCCAUUUUGGGUUCGCCAUUGGCAUAGGGCCGCACGCACGCGGACAGGCGUAAACGCACUACAAAUCAAUGAAGAUUAUGCCUCACAGUGUUAAGAUGUUACCGUUGCCCGGCCUAAAGCGCAAUGAGGGUAGAGUUCCCCAAGCUAUCCAGCAUCCGGAUCCUGAAUCAAACCCGUCCAGAAAAGUGAGUAGAACUGAUUUGGUUUGAGAAUCUAUAAAUCUGAACUACCAACUCUGAAGUCCAAUCCUAUGGGUUGAUUGAAAUCCCUUUUAAUUCAGGAGCUCUUCCGCAUCGAAAUGAAGCCCGAUCUGCAGUUGAAGGAGCAACAACUUGGGGAGUCACUACGAAUCUGCACACGGAAGAUGGAGGCUGCAGAAUCGAACUCAUUAGGAGUGUCCCAAGCUUAACUACCUACAGUUGAAAGUAGGAGAGGCAGGCGGAUUCAUGGAACUCCAGCGUCGCCUUCGUGUUCGGAAGAAAUCAGGAAAACUGGUACAGCCCGAGCCUUCAGCUUAUCCCUAAGACGGCCGCGGAACUAGAAUCAAGCCAGGAUUAUUUAUCUCAUCGACAUUCAGUGCAAGCUCCACGUAUGUAGAAAACCAUGUACGAGGAAUAGAGGCACGCUAGAUCCUCACAUCAUGCAUCAUGUGCGCCGAAAAUAAAAAUCAGUAUCAAAAUCGACGUCUAUCAGUAAAACUUGAUGAACAUCACCAAUAAUCGAACAGACAAAAUGUUGGUUCGAGGAAUGAACUCAUUCAGAUGUCCAACCGCCAGCACGAAUGUUCAAUACGCCUAACCAACCUCCUCCUGUACAAUUCUGCCGCCACCCUGCAAAUCCUCACAACAG